RNA transcript from Rhineura floridana, 2124 nucleotides. It is a transcript of the gene named Bardet-Biedl syndrome 5, with no coding region annotated. Lineage: Eukaryota; Metazoa; Chordata; Lepidosauria; Squamata; Rhineuridae. The transcript has 14 exons. The record is from RefSeq and is a predicted model, not a curated record.
UCCCAAUAUGCCCUGCUGCGGAGUUGUUUACUGCCCAGGAAAGAACACAGUGCAGAGACGCUACUGCUCUGUUGCCAUUUGGGAAACUUUUACAAGUUGCGAAGAUCAAACGGGGGCACGGGGCAAAGAAAGUGAUUACAGUAGUUUGUACUCCGGGGCCCGUUCAUAUUCCAGAACCAAGCCUGAAAGACUGGGAGUCCUCGCUGUGGGCAAACAGUCAAAUAAAGGCUCUGUAGCAAAACCGUUCUCCUACUCCUCGCAAAAGAACACCUAGCGCACGCGCACAUAGGUUUCUUGCGCACUGAAGAAGUUUGUCCCUAAUCGGUGCACGUCAGGACGUUGCCAAGGAAGAGCGCGGGGACGCUGAAAAGGGCCGAUAGUCGCUAUGGCCACCACCGCGGACUCGCUUUGGGAGGACAGAGAUGUCCGUUUCGAUAUCUCUUCUCAGCAAAUGAAAAUGAGACCAGGAGAAGUUCUCAUUGACUGUUUGGAUCCUAUUGAAGAUACCAAAGGAAACAAUGGAGAGAAAGGCAGACUUUUGGUAACAAACUUACGGAUUAUUUGGCAUUCCAUAGUAUUGCCUAGAGUCAACCUCUCUGUUGGCUACAAUUGCUUUGUGAAUACAACAACAAGAACAGCUAACUCGAAAUUAAGAGGACAGACAGAAGCACUUUAUAUAUUAACCAAAUGUAACAAUACACGUUUUGAAUUUAUAUUUACAAAUGUGGUUCCUGGGAGCCCCAGACUUUUUGCAUCAGUUAUUGCAGUACACAGAGCUUAUGAAACAUCAAAAAUGUAUCGUGAGCUUAAGCUGAGAUGUGCAUUAAUUCAAAACAAGCAGUUGAGAUUGUUACCAAAAGAACAAGUAUAUGACAAAAUAAAUGGUGUCUGGAAUUUAUCUAGUGAUCAGGGAAAUCUGGGUACAUUUUUUGUUACAAAUGUAAGAGUGGUUUGGCAUGCUAAUAUGAAUGACAGCUUUAAUGUCAGUAUACCGUAUCUACAAAUUCGCUCAGUAAAGAUCAGAGACUCAAAAUUUGGUUUGGCACUUGUCAUUGAGAGCUCCCAGGCGACUGGUGGUUAUGUGCUUGGAUUUAAGAUUGACCCAGUUGAAAAGCUAGAGGGAACAUCAAAAGAAAUAAAAUCACUGCAUCAAAUUUUUUCAGUUAAUCCUAUAUUUGGAGUAGAUUAUGAAAUGGAAGAAAAGCCUCAGCAGCUAGAAGAUCUGACAGUGGAACAGAUACAGGAUGAUGUAGAGAUAGAAGCAGAUGAGCAGACAGAUGCUUUUGUGGCUUAUUUUGCUGACGGGAACAAACAACAGGACCGUGAGCCUGUUUUUUCUGAAGAGUUGGGACUUGCAAUAGAAAAACUAAAAGAUGGAUUCACACUGCAAGGACUCUGGGAAGUAAUGGGCUGAUAUUAAUUUAAACAAUAUUUAGUGAAUCUGUUUAAUUUCUAAAAGCCAUGUCAUGAAGAGGCUACUGCUGCCUGUUUUAUGGAGAUUAUUGUAUAUAGAAGAAAACUAUUACGAGAAAGAGAUGAUAUACAGUGUAUAGUCAUUUUAUAAUAAGAUCUUAUAUUUGUAAGAUAUGCAGUGUACUGUUUUGUAUUUAUAUAUAUUGCUUUCAGUGGUUACAUUUAAAAUUAUUUGCUUAUUUAGCAUAUAUGUGUUGAACACAUAUGACUGUCAAUAAAAAUGUAUUAAGGGAAUAAGUGAAAGAAUAUGUGCUGUUUCUGAAUCAUUGCUGCCAUUAUGGUACUUAUAAUAUUUUUGCAAAGUAUUUUCAAGUUGUGACCCAGUCAUUAUAUCUUAUUCCUAGUUCAUUCCACUAAAGUUCUGGACAUUCCGUUACUCUGGAUGCUUGCUGGAAAAUGAGAUUCAUUCAGCUAUGAGAGUCUGCAUGUUUUGGAUCAUGCUUGAGUAACAUGAACAUACUGAAGACCUACUUCAUAAUGACUACUUUGUUCCUAAUUCUGCAACCUUACUGACUCUGGGUUCUAACUAUAUGGUACAAGUAAGCUUGGUGAUUCAGUGUGUGUAACCAAGUAAAAGUAAUUCCCUAGUGACUAAAACCAACAGUUGCUUCUUUCAACCCAUAACAGCUGCAAGCUCUACUCUUCUUUCCA